UUACCAAGGCUUGACAUACACCGGAAACGGCCAGAGAUGGUCGCCCCCUUGUGGUCGGUGUACAGGUGGUGCAUGGCUGUCGUCAGCUCGUGUCGUGAGAUGUUGGGUUAAGUCCCGCAACGAGCGCAACCCUUGUCCUGUGUUGCCAGCGUGCCCUUCGGGGUGACGGGGACUCACAGGAGACCGCCGGGGUCAACUCGGAGGAAGGUGGGGACGACGUCAAGUCAUCAUGCCCCUUAUGUCUUGGGCUGCACACGUGCUACAAUGGCAGGUACAAUGAGCUGCGAUACCGUGAGGUGGAGCGAAUCUCAAAAAGCCUGUCUCAGUUCGGAUUGGGGUCUGCAACUCGACCCCAUGAAGUCGGAGUUGCUAGUAAUCGCAGAUCAGC
Molecule: ribosomal RNA, 388 nt
Filed under: Streptomyces sp. RTD5
Lineage: Bacteria; Bacillati; Actinomycetota; Actinomycetes; Kitasatosporales; Streptomycetaceae
Description: bacterial SSU rRNA
Rfam family: Bacterial small subunit ribosomal RNA
Source: RNAcentral